GAUGAAGUUCCUUCGGGAAUGGAUUAGUGGCGAACGGGUGAGGAACACGUGAGAAACCUGCCUUUCAUUCUGGAAUAACACCGGGAAACCGGUGCUAAUACCGGAUACUCCAUCUUGGCGGCAUCGCCGAGCUGGGAAAAAAUUUUGAUGAAAGAUGGUCUCGCGGCCUAUCAGCUAGUUGGUGAGGUAAAGGCUCACCAAGGCGACGACGGGUAGCCGGCCUGAGAGGGCGACCGGCCACACUGGGACUGAGACACGGCCCAGACUCCUACGGGAGGCAGCAGUAGGGAAUAUUGGGCAAUGGGCGAAAGCCUGACCCAGCGACGCCGCGUGAGGGAUGAAGGUCUUCGGAUUGUAAACCUCUUUCAGUAGGGAGGAAGCGAAAGUGACGGUACCUAAAGAAGAAGCACCGGCUAACUAUGUGCCAGCAGCCGCGGUAAUACAUAGGGUGCAAGCGUUGUCCGGAAUUAUUGGGCGUAAAGAGCUCGUAGGUCGUUUGUCGCGUCGAUUGUGAAAAUCUGAGGCUCAACCUCAGACCUGCAGUCGAUACGGGCAAACUAGAGUGUGGUAGGGGAGACUGGAAUUCCUGGUGUAGCGGUGGAAUGCGCAGAUAUCAGGAGGAACACCAAUGGCGAAGGCAGGUCUCUGGGCCAUAACUGACACUGAGGAGCGAAAGUGCGGGGAGCGAACAGGAUUAGAUACCCUGGUAGUCCGCACCGUANACGGUGGGCACUAGUUGUGGGAACCUUCCACGGUUUCCGCGACGCAGCAAACGCAUUAAGUGCCCCGCCUGGGGAGUACGAUCGCAAGAUUAA
RNAcentral lists this ribosomal RNA (815 nucleotides) under uncultured Actinomycetes bacterium. Its description in RNAcentral is "bacterial SSU rRNA". It matches the Rfam family "Bacterial small subunit ribosomal RNA", at positions 68 to 897 of the family's 1533-position model. The record is from RNAcentral. Lineage: Bacteria; Bacillati; Actinomycetota; Actinomycetes.